Molecule: ribosomal RNA, 842 nt
Filed under: Bacillus sp. M_Sw_HS_07/10_10_1(1)
Lineage: Bacteria; Bacillati; Bacillota; Bacilli; Caryophanales; Bacillaceae
Description: bacterial SSU rRNA
Rfam family: Bacterial small subunit ribosomal RNA
Source: RNAcentral
CAUGCAAGUCGAGCGGACCGACGGGAGCUUGCUCCCUUAGGUCAGCGGCGGACGGGUGAGUAACACGUGGGGUAACCUGCCUGUAAGACUGGGGAUAACUCCGGGGAAACCGGGGGCUAAUACCGGAUGCUUGAUUGAACCGCAUGGUUCAAUCAUAAAAGGUGGCUUUCAGCUACCACUUACAGAUGGACCCGCGGCGCAUUAGCUAGUUGGUGAGGUAACGGCUCACCAAGGCGACGAUGCGUAGCCGACCUGAGAGGGUGAUCGGCCACACUGGGACUGAGACACGGCCCAGACUCCUACGGGAGGCAGCAGUAGGGAAUCUUCCGCAAUGGACGAAAGUCUGACGGAGCAACGCCGCGUGAGUGAUGAAGGUUUUCGGAUCGUAAAACUCUGUUGUUAGGGAAGAACAAGUACCGUUCGAAUAGGGCGGUACCUUGACGGUACCUAACCAGAAAGCCACGGCUAACUACGUGCCAGCAGCCGCGGUAAUACGUAGGUGGCAAGCGUUGUCCGGAAUUAUUGGGCGUAAAGCGCGCGCAGGCGGUUUCUUAAGUCUGAUGUGAAAGCCCCCGGCUCAACCGGGGAGGGUCAUUGGAAACUGGGGAACUUGAGUGCAGAAGAGGAGAGUGGAAUUCCACGUGUAGCGGUGAAAUGCGUAGAGAUGUGGAGGAACACCAGUGGCGAAGGCGACUCUCUGGUCUGUAACUGACGCUGAGGCGCGAAAGCGUGGGGAGCGAACAGGAUUAGAUACCCUGGUAGUCCACGCCGUAAACGAUGAGUGCUAAGUGUUAGAGGGUUUCCGCCCUUUAGUGCUGCAGCAAACGCAUUAAGCACUCCGC